GGGCAAUUGGCACAGUGGUAGCGCGCACGCUUCGCAUUAAUCAAUGCUUGCGUGAGGUCCAGGGUUCAAUCCCCUGAUUGUCCA
Non-coding RNA from Fomitopsis betulina (razor strop fungus), 84 nucleotides. The record is from the annotation of a GenBank genome assembly. Lineage: Eukaryota; Fungi; Basidiomycota; Agaricomycetes; Polyporales; Fomitopsidaceae.